CGGGGAAUAUUGGGCAAUGGGCGAAAGCCUGACCCAGCGACGCCGCGUGGGUGAUGAAGGCCUUCGGGUUGUAAAGCCCUUUCGUGCGGAAAGAACAGUCCCGUAGUGAAUAUCUACGGGAUUUGACGGUACCGCAGGAAGAAGCACCGGCUAACUCCGUGCCAGCAGCCGCGGUAAUACGGAGGGUGCAAGCGUUGUUCGGAAUUAUUGGGCGUAAAGGGCGCGUAGGUGGUUGUGAUAGUCAGAUGUGAAAUCUUCUGGCUCAACUGGAGAGCUGCAUCUGAAACUUCAUAACUCGAGUACAGGAGAGGGAAACGGAAUUCCCGGUGUAGAGGUGAAAUUCGUAGAUAUCGGGAGGAACACCAGUGGCGAAGGCGGUUUCCUGGCCUGAUACUGACACUGAGGCGCGAAAGCGUGGGGAGCAAACAG
This 429-nucleotide ribosomal RNA is filed under the name uncultured bacterium. RNAcentral's name for it is "bacterial SSU rRNA". It matches the Rfam family "Bacterial small subunit ribosomal RNA", at positions 355 to 775 of the family's 1533-position model. The record is from RNAcentral.